AUGUGGUGUAAUUCGAUGCAACGCGAAGAACCUUACCUACUCUUGACAUCCAGAGAACUUUCCAGAGAUGGAUUGGUGCCUUCGGGAACUGUGAGACAGGUGCUGCAUGGCUGUCGUCAGCUCGUGUUGUGAAAUGAUGGGUUAAGUCCCGCAACGAGCGCAACCCUUAUCCUUGUUUGCCAGCGAGUAAUGUCGGGAACUCCAGGGAGACUGCCGGUGAUAAACCGGAGGAAGGUGGGGACGACGUCAAGUCAUCAUGGCCCUUACGAGUAGGGCUACACACGUGCUACAAUGGCGCAUACAGAGGGCGGCCAACUUGCGAAAGUGAGCGAAUCCCAAAAAGUGCGUCGUAGUCCGGAUUGGAGUCUGCAACUCGACUCCAUGAAGUCGGAAUCGCUAGUAAUCGUGGAUCAGAAUGCCACGGUGAAUACGUUCCCGGGCCUUGUACACACCGCCCGUCACACCAUGGGAGUGGGCUGCAAAAGAAGUAGGUAGUUAAC
Molecule: ribosomal RNA, 500 nt
Filed under: Vibrio neocaledonicus
Lineage: Bacteria; Pseudomonadati; Pseudomonadota; Gammaproteobacteria; Vibrionales; Vibrionaceae
Description: bacterial SSU rRNA
Rfam family: Bacterial small subunit ribosomal RNA
Source: RNAcentral